CUCGCCGGGUCCUCGCCUCUACUCCACGUACAUCACCUCCAUCCGCACCCGCGUCUCGGUCGCACCUCCUCUCGCUCGCUCUUCUCGGAAAGUUCCGUCCGUUACGUACGCUACGGUGUAACACGCAGGGUGUAUCAAGCUACUGUGUAUCACGCUAAUGUGUAUCACGCACGGUGUAUUACGCUACUGUGUAUCACGCACGGUGUAUGACGCUACGGUGUAUCACGCACGGUAAUCGUAAAGUUCCGUCCGUUACGCACGCUACGGUGUAACACGCACGGUCGCACGGUGUAUCACGCACGGUGUAUUACGCUACUGUGUAUCACGCACGGUGUAUGACGCUACGGUGUAUCACGCACGGUAAUCUUUCACCAUGGUCAUUGGCCAUCCCAUCGUAUGUGUAUAAAACCGAGAAAUUGUCUCUAAAGUUUGAAAUGUUAGUAAUUCUGGAAUCAAAAACAGGUUUUCGUCGGAUUUCGGUUUGAAGCCUGUAAAAAAUAUGAUGACUGAAGCUUAUGCAGAAGAAGAAUUAAGCUUCAAGACUGAGAAUUAAGCUCCAAAACUAGUGUUCUGUGCGUCGGAAAGGGCAGAGACAUCAAGUGUAACCGUGAAAUGAGACUAUAUUGUAACCUCAUAUCCGUGGCAUCCUAAAACGAGUCCGUAAUUCUGGACCAAUGUCAGAGUGUAUAGGGGAAGAUCUAAGAUUCAAACUAGUGCUCUGUGUGCCAGAAACUUGGACAAACGCAACAGUGAAAUAGUGCGCUGCGCCUCUCACCGCAUUCGUAGCAUCUUCGGGCGCGUCCGGUUCAAUGUCAGUGCGCCUGAAACUAUGCGCGAUCCUUCACCCGGGGUCUUGGAUGUGCGGAUCUUAAACGGCUCCGAUGUGUUCGACCGGGACCUGCCUGCGGUUGGCGACCCCAUGGCGGCCGGCCGUCUAGCCUGGAGUGUUGGGAGCAGGCCACUAGGGUCAGGGUCUAGGUCAAGGUCAAGGUCAAGGUCAAGGACACGACUUCACGAUGAUAGACUGGGUGUCGAUCGUGCGGCACUCCCGCCGCCGCUUCUCCAACUACAUGUACGCCAUGCCCAACAAAGUGAUCAAGUGCCGCAAGGGCCCCGGCUUCGGCGGCGGCGCCCGCAACCGCGCCAAACACCACUUCACGCCCGGCUCCGCCUCGUCCUCCUCCAGGGCCCAGUUCCAGCAGAGCUCCUCCCAAACCUACGCUUGGUGCUGGCCAAAGAAAACGAGGUAUAAUGAAGACGAUCUGCCUCCACCCCGUCUCCUCCACAAUUGAAAGAAGUGACGUCGCUAGAUGGAGUACCCAGAGCCGGCAAUGGAGAGACCAAUCUCAUAAUUGACCCGAGCACACCGCAAAUGAUAAUCAGGAAUGAUCAUCAUUCUGUUGUUCCCAGUCACAAUCAGGUUAGUCCCCUUGUCUCAUCUUUUACUAUGCCAACAAAUGUCGAAUGCCUCCGAAUCAAAGAAAAUCUUUGUGAAAUGAUCAACCCCAUGAAGUCAACCUUAAUGAUCAACCUAAAAAAAAUGGAUAUGAAUAGAGAAGUAGUAUACCCUUCAAUUCCAGAACAAUUAAUUCCAGCAAUCUUAAUCUUCACUAUCAUAACUAUAUUUGAAACUAAUUAUAAGUUGAAAGUAAAUAUGAAAAAUAAUGAGGUUAAGUAAAUGAUGAGGUAUAUGUGAUUUAUAAAAAAUGUAAACUCACUAAAAAAGUGAUAAUUAUCAAACACAUAGCUGUACCACAUAUUGCCAUUCGAAACUACAAUUUCUGGCUCAUCGGUCAAAAAUAGUUUGUGCAUAGGGAAACUAACGGUACAUACGUUGUUUGUGAACUAAGACAAAAAUUAUAGUUUCUAAUUGCAGAAUGCAGGCCAAAUACCCUCGCAUGCAUCUUAUCGGUUCAAUGCAAACCGGCAAAGGUUCCCGUUCAUGGUAGACCUAAUCCUGA
Molecule: long non-coding RNA, 1961 nt
Filed under: Bemisia tabaci
Lineage: Eukaryota; Metazoa; Arthropoda; Insecta; Hemiptera; Aleyrodidae
Description: lncRNA ENSSSA3NGG003256
Source: RNAcentral